RNAcentral lists this ribosomal RNA (245 nucleotides) under uncultured Anaerolineaceae bacterium. Its description in RNAcentral is "partial 16S ribosomal RNA". It matches the Rfam family "Bacterial small subunit ribosomal RNA", at positions 524 to 768 of the family's 1533-position model. Lineage: Bacteria; Bacillati; Chloroflexota; Anaerolineae; Anaerolineales; Anaerolineaceae. The record is from RNAcentral.
AACGUAGGAGGCGAGCGUUAUCCGGAUUUACUGGGCGUAAAGCGCGUGCAGGCGGCAGCGCAAGUUGGGCGUGAAAUCUCCCGGCUCAACCGGGAGGGGCCGUCCAAUACUGCGCCGCUCGAGGGCAGGAGAGGGAAGUGGAAUUCCCGGUGUAGCGGUAAAAUGCGCAGAUAUCGGGAGGAACACCAGUGGCGAAGGCGGCUUCCUGGCCUGCUCCUGACGCUAAGACGCGAAAGCUAGGGGAG